AGGACCUCACGGAACUGCCAUCUGAUCUAUAGACCACGGCGUGCGCAGAAAGGCAUAUCUUUCCAGUUCCGAGCUCAUAAAUGAUCAAUGCUGAUGGUUCGUAGAUGACCCAUAUAUCUUUGAUCAUGCCAUAUCAGAGAUAUAGUCCUGGCGAACCUAAAUACCCGAAUAUUUGUAAAUUGAGCAAGAAUUUGGACGUGAAAUAUGUAUGAAUUUUCUUUCAGCCGGCCUCGACGGCAUUCACUGGUUCCUAGUUGACCUGAAUAUCCUUGAUUAUACCAUAUCAUAGAUAUUGUCCUAGUGAACCUAAAGAAAUAAAUCCACGCAAAACACGCAUGGAAAUGGUCCAGAAAUAUAUGUGUAUUCUUUUUCUUAAAAUACUUCUUUAACACGCGCGUGAAGUGACAAUCUUGCAGGUAAUUGAAGCCCGAACUGGGGCAGAUCAGAAAGUCAUUUAUAGCAAAAAACGAGAUGCAUCAUUCAUUUGACACAGGAUUAAAUGGACCAGGGCUAUCAUCUGGCUAAGGGACAUCAAAAUUGUCCAGGAUUCUUAGAUGACCCCAUAAUUUUUUGAUGCAGAUCGACGCAGCUUGUCCUUACGAUCCUAACGCACCAAGUUCUGCGAAAUUGUGCAAGGAUAUGGCCGAGCUAUGGCCAUUUUUCUAAAAAGGACAUUCUUUUUUUGGCCAUAACUUGGCCAAAUCCUGAAGGAUAUCAGAAGGAUACAUCUGUUUGAGCUCGUAGGAAGCAGGACUAUCGAUUGGCAUUCAAGGAUUUUCAGGAUUCGACCAAAAAUUUGCAUCAAAAUUUUCCUGGUGCUUUACUCGGAAAAUUGGCAAAAAUCGAUAAAAUCCGGGCUAACUUGGCCAUUUUGAGGACUAUCAUGAUGUCCCUUGGACAGUAAAUAGUCCUCGUCCCCCAGAUUACGAAUUAGCAAUAAAAAGGACGAAAGUCCUUCAAAUGGCGGAGCAAAAAUGCCAAAUUUUCAAACACAAAAUAGCCUAUAACUCCGUUAUAUCCUUGUAUAUCCUGACGAGUCCUGUGUCAAAUAAAUUGUAUGGACCAGGGCUAUCAUCUGGCCAAAGGACAUCAAAAUCGUCCUUGUAGUUUCUGAAAUAUGAAGGAUUUUGUGUUUUCGGCCUGUUUCCCUUGCAAAUCGGGGCAGAAAAUUUUUACAAGUACAGGAUUCUUAGAUGACCCCAUAAUUUUUUGAUGCAGAUCGACGCAGCUUGUCCUUACGAUCCUAACGCACCAAGUCCUGCGAAAUUGUGCAAGGAUAUAGCCGAGCUAUGGCCAUUUUUCUAAAAAGGACAUUCGUUUUUUGGCCAUAGCUGGGCCAAAUACUAAAGGAUAUCAGAAGGAUACAUCUGUUUGAACUCGUAGCGAGCAGGACUAUCGAUUGGCAUUCAAGGAUUUUCAGGAUUCGACCAAAAAUUUGCAUUAAAAUUUUCCUAGGGGUUUACUCGGAAAAUUGGCAAAAAUCGAUAAAAUCCGGGCUAACUUGGCCAUUUUAAGGACUAUCAUGAUGUCCUUUGGACAGUAAAUAGUCCUCGUCCCCCAGAUUACGAAUUAGCAAUAAAAAGGACGAAAGUCCUUCAAAUGGCGGAGCAAAAAUGCCAAAUUUUCAAACACAAAAUAGCCUAUAACUCCGUUAUAUCCUUGUAUAUCCUGACGAGUCCUGUGUCAAAUAAAUUGUAUGGACCAGGGCUAUCAUCUGGCCAAAGGACAUCAAAA
This is a long non-coding RNA of Drosophila montana, 1734 nucleotides long. RefSeq lists it as uncharacterized. The transcript has 2 exons. NCBI's taxonomy places the organism in Eukaryota, Metazoa, Arthropoda, Insecta, Diptera, Drosophilidae. The record is from RefSeq and is a predicted model, not a curated record.